GGGUAGCCUAGUGGUUAGAGUGUAGAGGUGGCAGGGUAGCCUAGUGGUUAGAGUGUAGAGGUGGCAGGUAGCCUAGUGGUUAGAGUGUAGAGGUGGCAGGUAGCCUAGUGGUUAGAGUGUAGAGGUGGCAGGGUAGCCUAGUGGUUAGAGCGUAGAGGUGGCAGGUAGCCUAGUGGUUAGAGUGUAGAGGUGGCAGGGUAGCCUAGUGGUUAGAGCGUAGAGGUGGCAGGUAGCCUAGUGGUUAGAGCGUAGAGGUGGCAGGGAGCCUAGUGGUUAGAGUGUUGGACCAGUAACCAGCAGGUAGCCUAGUGGUUAGAGCAUUGGACCAGUAACCAGCAGGUAGCCUAGUGGUUAGAGCGUUGGGCCAGUAACCAGCAGGUAGCCUAGUGGUUAGAGCGUUGGGCCAGUAACCAGCAGGUAGCCUAGUGGUUAGAGCGUUGGGCCAGUAACCAGCAGGUAGCCUAGUGGUUAGAGCGUUGGGCCAGUAACCAGCAGGUAGCCUAGUGGUUAGAGCGUUGGGACAGUAACCAGCAGGUAGCCUAGUGGUUAGAGCGUUGGACUAGUAACCAGCAGGUAGCCUAGUGGUUAGAGCAUUGGACUAGUAACCGAAAGGUUGCAAGAUCGAAUCCCCGAGCUGACAAGGUAAAAAUCUGUCGUUCUGCCCCUGAACAAGGCAGUUAACCCACUGUUCCUAGGCUGUCAUUGUAAAUAAGAAUUUGUUCUUAACUGAAUUGCCUGGUUAAAUGAAAAUUAACCACAAACAAUUAAUGAACAUGCACCUGUGGAACGGUCGC
Long non-coding RNA from Oncorhynchus tshawytscha (Chinook salmon), 794 nucleotides. The record is from Ensembl. Lineage: Eukaryota; Metazoa; Chordata; Actinopteri; Salmoniformes; Salmonidae.